This 495-nucleotide ribosomal RNA is filed under the name uncultured bacterium. Its description in RNAcentral is "partial 16S ribosomal RNA". It matches the Rfam family "Bacterial small subunit ribosomal RNA", at positions 30 to 507 of the family's 1533-position model. The record is from RNAcentral.
UGAACGCUGGCGGCGUGCCUAAUACAUGCAAGUCGAGCGAACAGAUGAGGAGCUUGCUCCUCUGACGUUAGCGGCGGACGGGUGAGUAACACGUGGAUAACCUACCUAUAAGACUGGGAUAACUUCUGGAAACCGGAGCUAAUACCGGAUAAUAUAUUGAACCGCAUGGUUCAAUAGUGAAAGACGGUUUUGCUGUCACUUAUAGAUGGAUCCGCGCCGCAUUAGCUAGUUGGUAAGGUAACGGCUUACCAAGGCAACGAUGCGUAGCCGACCUGAGAGGGUGAUCGGCCACACUGGAACUGAGACACGGUCCAGACUCCUACGGGAGGCAGCAGUAGGGAAUCUUCCGCAAUGGGCGAAAGCCUGACGGAGCAACGCCGCGUGAGUGAUGAAGGUCUUCGGAUCGUAAAACUCUGUUAUUAGGGAAGAACAAAUGUGUAAGUAACUAUGCACGUCUUGACGGUACCUAAUCAGAAAGCCACGGCUAACUACGUG